Molecule: ribosomal RNA, 253 nt
Filed under: uncultured bacterium
Lineage: Bacteria
Description: partial 16S ribosomal RNA
Rfam family: Bacterial small subunit ribosomal RNA
Source: RNAcentral
UACGUAGGGUGCAAGCGUUGUCCGGAAUUAUUGGGCGUAAAGAGCUCGUAGGCGGUCUGUCGCGUCUGCUGUGAAAACUCAGGGCUUAACCCUGGGCUUGCAGUGGGUACGGGCAGACUAGAGUGCGGUAGGGGAGACUGGAAUUCCUGGUGUAGCGGUGAAAUGCGCAGAUAUCAGGAGGAACACCGGUGGCGAAGGCGGGUCUCUGGGCCGUAACUGACGCUGAGGAGCGAAAGCAUGGGGAGCGAACAGG